RNAcentral lists this ribosomal RNA (253 nucleotides) under uncultured bacterium. RNAcentral describes it as "partial 16S ribosomal RNA". It matches the Rfam family "Bacterial small subunit ribosomal RNA", at positions 524 to 776 of the family's 1533-position model. The record is from RNAcentral.
UACGUAGGUGGCGAGCGUUGUCCGGAUUUACUGGGCGUAAAGGGAGCGUAGGCGGACUUUUAAGUGAGAUGUGAAAUACUCGGGCUCAACUUGAGUGCUGCAUUUCAAACUGGAAGUCUAGAGUGCAGGAGAGGAGAAUGGAAUUCCUAGUGUAGCGGUGAAAUGCGUAGAGAUUAGGAAGGACACCAGUGGCGAAGGCGAUUCUCUGGACUGUAACUGACGCUGAGGCUCGAAAGCGUGGGGAGCAAACAGG